GACGAACGCUGGCGGCGUGCUUAACACAUGCAAGUCGAACGGAAAGGCCCUGCUUUUGUGGGGUGCUCGAGUGGCGAACGGGUGAGUAACACGUGAGUAACCUGCCCUUGACUUUGGGAUAACUUCAGGAAACUGGGGCUAAUACCGGAUAGGAGCUCCUGCUGCAUGGUGGGGGUUGGAAAGUUUCGGCGGUUGGGGAUGGACUCGCGGCUUAUCAGCUUGUUGGUGGGGUAGUGGCUUACCAAGGCUUUGACGGGUAGCCGGCCUGAGAGGGUGACCGGCCACAUUGGGACUGAGAUACGGCCCAGACUCCUACGGGAGGCAGCAGUGGGGAAUAUUGCACAAUGGGCGGAAGCCUGAUGCAGCAACGCCGCGUGCGGGAUGACGGCCUUCGGGUUGUAAACCGCUUUCGCCUGUGACGAAGCGUGAGUGACGGUAAUGGGUAAAGAAGCACCGGCUAACUACGUGCCAGCAGCCGCGGUGAUACGUAGGGUGCGAGCGUUGUCCGGAUUUAUUGGGCGUAAAGGGCUCGUAGGUGGUUGAUCGCGUCGGAAGUGUAAUCUUGGGGCUUAACCCUGAGCGUGCUUUCGAUACGGGUUGACUUGAGGAAGGUAGGGGAGAAUGGAGUUCCUGGUGGAGCGGUGGAAUGCGCAGAUAUCAGGAGGAACACCAGUGGCGAAGGCGGUUCUCUGGGCCUUUCCUGACGCUGAGGAGCGAAAGCGUGGGGAGCGAACAGGCUUAGAUACCCUGGUAGUCCACGCUGUAAACGGUGGGUACUAGGUGUGGGGUCCAUUCCACGGGUCCCGUGCCGUAGCUAACGCUUUAAGUACCCCGCCUGGGGAGUACGGCCGCAAGGCUAAAACUCAAAGGAAUUGACGGGGCCCCGCACAAGCGGCGGAGCAUGCGGAUUAAUUCGAUGCAACGCGUAGAACCUUACCUGGGUUUGACAUGGAUCGGGAGUGCUCAGAGAUGGGUGUGCCUCUUUUGGGGUCGGUUCACAGGUGGUGCAUGGCUGUCGUCAGCUCGUGUCGUGAGAUGUUGGGUUAAGUCCCGCAACGAGCGCAACCCUUGUUCACUGUUGCCAGCACGUUAUGGUGGGGACUCAGUGGAGACCGCCGGGGUCAACUCGGAGGAAGGUGGGGAUGACGUCAAGUCAUCAUGCCCCUUAUGUCCAGGGCUUCACGCAUGCUACAAUGGCUGGUACAGAGAGUGGCGAGCCUGUGAGGGUGAGCGAAUCUCGGAAAGCCGGUCUCAGUUCGGAUUGGGGUCUGCAACUCGACCUCAUGAAGUCGGAGUCGCUAGUAAUCGCAGAUCAGCAACGCUGCGGUGAAUACGUUCCCGGG
This 1343-nucleotide ribosomal RNA is filed under the name uncultured bacterium. Its description in RNAcentral is "16S ribosomal RNA". It matches the Rfam family "Bacterial small subunit ribosomal RNA", at positions 28 to 1378 of the family's 1533-position model. The record is from RNAcentral.